Amyelois transitella is the source of this 356-nucleotide long non-coding RNA. RefSeq lists it as uncharacterized. NCBI's taxonomy places the organism in Eukaryota, Metazoa, Arthropoda, Insecta, Lepidoptera, Pyralidae. The record is from RefSeq and is a predicted model, not a curated record. The transcript is spliced from 3 exons.
GUUUGGUUUGAUUUGAAAAUCUGAAUUUAUUUCAACGGCGAUUACGAGAAGAGAAUCAUUCCCAUAUUGUUUUUGUUCCAUAAAGUUCGUUUUAUUAUUUCUAGUCAGGCACACAUAUUUUUAAAAACAAUGGAGAGUACAGACUUCCUAAAAUACACCAGGGUUGAUAUUGCUGAUACAUCUGGAUUUACGCCAGUUAAACCUAGAUUGGGACGAUUCGUCGAUGUUUAUUCCCCGGAACAUCUGAAUGUUACACCAAGACCUCUUGUACCCAAACUUGAUCUCAAUGACUUGAGGAAUGACAGCCCUAUUUUGCUUACACCAGAAAAAUAUUCAGAAGUUGAUUUCAAAUGCAG